Molecule: long non-coding RNA, 229 nt
Filed under: Setaria italica (foxtail millet)
Lineage: Eukaryota; Viridiplantae; Streptophyta; Magnoliopsida; Poales; Poaceae
Description: long non-coding RNA (SITA_LNC006886)
Source: RNAcentral
GGAAAUGAAAGGUAGGAUCACAAACAAAGACAAUGUUUGCACCAAGUUCUAAGCACCAUGCUUACAACUAAGUUGCUAAAAUUCUCCAUAGCCAUAAAAAAAUUGUUAAUCAAGGUCAAAUACCAUGCUUAUCCCAAGAUCGAUAACUCUUCCUAGCACAAGAAAAAUAGAGCGUAUUGCAAAGCUUAAAAACCAACUAAUGCAAUAUGGAGAUCAUAUGAAAAGUUAG